UGCUAGGGUAAUAUCCAUCAGGUUGACUGCCGCGCUGGAGUCCACCAAGGCGUUGAGGGAGGCAAUGGGAUGGUUCUUGCCUACGUGA
This 88-nucleotide microRNA precursor is filed under the name Gadus morhua (Atlantic cod). Its description in RNAcentral is "microRNA gmo-mir-11189 precursor". Lineage: Eukaryota; Metazoa; Chordata; Actinopteri; Gadiformes; Gadidae. The record is from miRBase by way of RNAcentral.